UAACCAUGAGGAGGGCAUCUUAUAAGUAACUCUUUGAAGCGCUUCCAACUCUCAUAAAAUUUCUCAUCCUCCUCCUGAGUGAAGGAACUAAUCUCCUUUUUGCAAUCA
Molecule: small nucleolar RNA, 108 nt
Organism: Corylus avellana
Lineage: Eukaryota; Viridiplantae; Streptophyta; Magnoliopsida; Fagales; Betulaceae
Source: RefSeq, a predicted model, not a curated record